This is a long non-coding RNA of Thalassophryne amazonica, 628 nucleotides long. RefSeq lists it as uncharacterized. The record is from RefSeq and is a predicted model, not a curated record. NCBI's taxonomy places the organism in Eukaryota, Metazoa, Chordata, Actinopteri, Batrachoidiformes, Batrachoididae. The transcript is spliced from 3 exons.
UGUUGUUGAUGUUGCUUAAAAACGUAAAAGUACUUUUUAUCAGAUUACUCGAUUACUAAAAUAAUCAAUAGCUGCAGCCCUAAUGGUUUGUAGAUAAUUCACAAUUUGCAGCAGUUUCAUGUUUUGGGGUCAACAGUUUUCACCCAGUGAUUAGCCAUCUGUUUUUUUGUUGUUGUUGUUGUUGUUCCAUUGUUGGGGUUCCAUUGCAGUAAGAAUUACAUCUGUUUUUCGCCAGUUAGACAAGCUUCUCAGUCAUUCCAAAGUUUCUUUCCACUACUCAGUUACUGUUUUCAGCUGCUUUAAAUUAUGCUCUGAAACAGCUGCAGUGCUCAGUUGUCAGGAGUGUAGAUGGUGCCAUCUUGUGGAAAUAGAUGAUAAUGCACCAUAUUUUGACAUACACGCUAAGUUGUUUUGAAAUUUUAGUCACAGGACCAGCUGAACAACAAAACAAAAAAAAAACACGACUUAUAGUCCAGAAAUAUGAUGCAAGUGAGAUUAAGCCCAAAACUGCAGUUUUUGAUUGAAAAAUGGUACAUGGUGCAAUAAGAUGAAGUUGUUACUCAUUGUAAAUGUUAGUGAUGGAUGUUUGUUAGGGGUGGGAUUUUUCUCUGUUUGGGAGAUCUGGAAG